This 1908-nucleotide ribosomal RNA is filed under the name Rhyzopertha dominica (lesser grain borer). Its description in RNAcentral is "SSU rRNA". It matches the Rfam family "Eukaryotic small subunit ribosomal RNA". Lineage: Eukaryota; Metazoa; Arthropoda; Insecta; Coleoptera; Bostrichidae. The record is from RNAcentral.
CAUGCAUGUCUCAGUACAAGCCAAUUAAGGUGAAACCGCGAAAGGCUCAUUAAAUCAGUUAUGGUUCCUUAGAUCGUACCCACACUUACUCGGAUAACUGUGGUAAUUCUAGAGCUAAUACGUGCAAACAGAGCUCCGACCGGAGACGGAAGGAGCGCUUUUAUUAGAUCAAAACCAAUCGGCGGCGGGUCCCCGUGGCCCGUCGUCGUUCAACCUGGUGAAUCUGAAUAACUUUACGCUGAUCGCACGGUCACGCACCGGCGACGCAUCUUUCAAAUGUCUGCCUUAUCAACUGUCGAUGGUAGGUUCUGCGCCUACCAUGGUCGUAACGGGUAACGGGGAAUCAGGGUUCGAUUCCGGAGAGGGAGCCUGAGAAACGGCUACCACAUCCAAGGAAGGCAGCAGGCGCGCAAAUUACCCACUCCCGGCACGGGGAGGUAGUGACGAAAAAUAACGAUACGGGACUCAUCCGAGGCCCCGUAAUCGGAAUGAGUACACUCUAAACCCUUUAACGAGGAUCAAUUGGAGGGCAAGUCUGGUGCCAGCCGCCGCGGUAAUUCCAGCUCCAAUAGCGUAUAUUAAAGUUGUUGCGGUUAAAAAGCUCGUAGUCGAAUCUGUGUCCCGCGCCGCCGGUUCAUCGCUCGCGGUGUCUGACUGGCGUGUUCGCGGGACGUCCUGCCGGUGGUGCCGUGCGGGGCGCCGGUGCGGCUUCGUCCCAGGUGGUCGUUGUCCGUGUCGUGCGUUUCCGUGCGGCCCAACUCUAAAAUCCCGCAUCGGUGCUCUUGACUGAGUGUCGAGGCGGGCCGGCACGUUUACUUUGAACAAAUUAGAGUGCUCAAAGCAGGCUAAAACUUCGCCUGAAUACAAGUGCAUGGAAUAAUGGAAUAGGACCUCGGUUCUAUUUUGUUGGUUUUCGGAACCCCGAGGUAAUGAUUAAUAGGAACGGAUGGGGGCAUUCGUAUUGCGACGUUAGAGGUGAAAUUCUUGGAUCGUCGCAAGACGGACAGAAGCGAAAGCAUUUGCCAAAAACGUUUUCAUUGAUCAAGAACGAAAGUUAGAGGUUCGAAGGCGAUCAGAUACCGCCCUAGUUCUAACCAUAAACGAUGCCAGCUAGCGAUCCGCCGACGUUCCUCCGAUGACUCGGCGGGCAGCUUCCGGGAAACCAAAGCUUUCGGGUUCCGGGGGAAGUAUGGUUGCAAAGCUGAAACUUAAAGGAAUUGACGGAAGGGCACCACCAGGAGUGGAGCCUGCGGCUUAAUUUGACUCAACACGGGAAACCUCACCAGGCCCGGACACCGGAAGGAUUGACAGAUUGAGAGCUCUUUCUUGAUUCGGUGGGUGGUGGUGCAUGGCCGUUCUUAGUUGGUGGAGCGAUUUGUCUGGUUAAUUCCGAUAACGAACGAGACUCUGGCCUGCUAACUAGGCGCAUUUUCGGCAUCUCGAAGGCCCGCCGGCCGGUCGCUCGCGGCUCGGUCCGGCGCGGUUUUUACUGCCGGCGUACAGUUCAUUCUUCUUAGAGGGACAGGCGGCAUCUAGCCGCACGAGAUUGAGCAAUAACAGGUCUGUGAUGCCCUUAGAUGUUCUGGGCCGCACGCGCGCUACACUGAAGGAACCAGCGUGUCUUCCCUAUCCGAAUGGAUCGGGUAACCCGCUGAACCUCCUUCGUGCUAGGGAUCGGGGCUUGCAAUUGUUCCCCGUGAACGAGGAAUUCCCAGUAAGCGCGAGUCAUAAGCUCGCGUUGAUUACGUCCCUGCCCUUUGUACACACCGCCCGUCGCUACUACCGAUUGAAUGAUUUAGUGAGGUCUUCGGACCGGUACGCGGCGACGUUUCGACGCCGCCGAUGUCACUGGGAAGAUGACCGAACUUGAUCAUUUAGAGGAAGUAAAAGUCGUAACAAGGUUUCCGU